RNAcentral lists this ribosomal RNA (806 nucleotides) under uncultured bacterium. RNAcentral describes it as "bacterial SSU rRNA". It matches the Rfam family "Bacterial small subunit ribosomal RNA", at positions 1 to 801 of the family's 1533-position model. The record is from RNAcentral.
AAUUCGCGCGUAGAGUUUGAACCUGGCUCAGGACGAACGCUGACGGCGUGCUUAACACAUGCAAGUCGAACGGUGAAGGGGAGCUUGCUCCCUGGAUCAGUGGCGAACGGGUGAGUAACACGUGGGCAACCUGCCCCUGACUUCGGGAUAACGCUUCGAAAGAGGUGCUAAUACCGGAUAUGAACCCUGAGGGCAUCCUCGGGGUUGGAAAGUUUUUCGGUCAGGGAUGGGCCCGCGGCUAUCAGCUUGUUGGUGAGGUAGUGGCUCACCAAGGCGACGACGGGUAGCCGGCCUGAGAGGGCGACCGGCCACACUGGGACUGAGACACGGCCCAGACUCUACGGGAGGCAGCAGUGGGGAAUCUUGCGCAAUGGGCGAAAGCUGACGCAGCAACGCCGCGUGAGCAAGACGGCCUUCGGGUUGUAAAGCUCUGUCAGGAGGGACGAAGCCACUCAGGUUAAUAGCCGAGAGGGUGACGGUACCUCCAGAGGAAGCCCCGGCUAACUACGUGCCAGCAGCCGCGGUAAUACGUAGGGGGCUAGCGUUGUCCGGAAUUAUUGGGCGUAAAGAGCGUGUAGGCGGCUUGUUAAGUCUGGUGUGAAAACUGAGGGCUCAACCCUCAGCCUGCACUAGAAACUGGCUUGCUAGAGUCCGGAAGAGGGGACUGGAAUUCCUGGUGUAGCGGUGAAAUGCGCAGAUAUCAGGAAGAACACCCGUGGCGAAGGCGGGUCCCUGGGACGGUACUGACGCUGAGACGCGAAGGUGCGGGGAGCAAACAGGAUUAGAUACCCUGGUAGUCAAGGGCG